This 589-nucleotide ribosomal RNA is filed under the name Trichoderma virens. Its description in RNAcentral is "eukaryotic LSU rRNA". The stretch from base 205 to 358 matches the Rfam family "5.8S ribosomal RNA". Lineage: Eukaryota; Fungi; Ascomycota; Sordariomycetes; Hypocreales; Hypocreaceae. The record is from RNAcentral.
GGGCCCUACGGAGUUACACUCCAACCCAAUGUGAACGUUACCAAACUGUUGCCUCGGCGGGAUCUCUGCCCCGGGUGCGUCGCAGCCCCGGACCAAGGCGCCCGCCGGAGGACCAACCAAAACUCUUAUUGUAUACCCCCUCGCGGGUUUUUUACUAUCUGAGCCAUCUCGGCGCCCCUCGUGGGCGUUUCGAAAAUGAAUCAAAACUUUCAACAACGGAUCUCUUGGUUCUGGCAUCGAUGAAGAACGCAGCGAAAUGCGAUAAGUAAUGUGAAUUGCAGAAUUCAGUGAAUCAUCGAAUCUUUGAACGCACAUUGCGCCCGCCAGUAUUCUGGCGGGCAUGCCUGUCCGAGCGUCAUUUCAACCCUCGAACCCCUCCGGGGGGUCGGCGUUGGGGAUCGGCCCUUUACGGGGCCGGCCCCGAAAUACAGUGGCGGUCUCGCCGCAGCCUCUCCUGCGCAGUAGUUUGCACACUCGCAUCGGGAGCGCGGCGCGUCCACAGCCGUUAAACACCCCAAACUUCUGAAAUGUUGACCUCGGAUCAGGUAGGAAUACCCGCUGAACUUAAGCAUAUCAAUAAGCGGAGGAA